This 221-nucleotide ribosomal RNA is filed under the name uncultured bacterium. RNAcentral describes it as "partial 16S ribosomal RNA". It matches the Rfam family "Bacterial small subunit ribosomal RNA", at positions 1277 to 1500 of the family's 1533-position model. The record is from RNAcentral.
UAAACGUCUCAGUUCGGAUUGUAGUCUGCAACUCGACUACAUGAAGCUGGAAUCGCUAGUAAUCGCGAAUCAGAAUGUCGCGGUGAAUACGUUCCCGGGUCUUGUACACACCGCCCGUCACACCAUGGGAGUCAGCAACGCCCGAAGCCGGUGACCCAACCGAAAGGAGGGAGCCGUCGAAGGUGGGGCCGAUAACUGGGGUGAAGUCGUAACAAGGUAUC